GAUCUUUUGGGAGCCUGUAGAAGCCGUCUUUUCUAGCUAUCCGCCAUGGCGGGUGGGUGAAAGACCCGAGCUAACAUGGGGUUAGUUCGUUAAAUUACGAUAAAGCCUCGUGCAGUUUGCAGCAAGCUCUCGAAUCCGCCUGGUGAUUUGGGUGACCGCGAACGUGGCCUGGGACCCCGGAUACUUGAGGUUUUUGGGGGUCUAACAAUACGAGACUAAUGCUAGCUCUUGGGAAAUCGAAGCAGUCCUGGAUUGUUAGAUGGCGAGAUGCAUAGCUUCACCAGUAGAGGGCAGCAGAGAGACUGUGAAGCACAUUAGAGAACCUGGAGGGGGUCCCCCCACCUUGGUGGUUGCUGCAGAGUUUGAAAUGUACACUUACAACCAUCUCCAACUCCAAAACUACCUGGACCACUUCUGCUCCUCCUCUCGUCUUCCUUUUACAUUCCCGCUGAAAGACAAACAGCACGAGGCUUUAUUGCAGUUGUUUAACGAGCUAACCCUAUGUUAGCUCGGGUCUUUCAUCCAUCCACCAUGGCAGAUGGCUGGGAAGGACACC
Molecule: long non-coding RNA, 556 nt
Filed under: Cricetulus griseus (Chinese hamster)
Lineage: Eukaryota; Metazoa; Chordata; Mammalia; Rodentia; Cricetidae
Description: lncRNA (ENSCGRG00015029515.1)
Source: RNAcentral